UCUCCCCGCUCUCCCCUCCCGCCCUCACCCCAGCUCUUCUUCCCCCACCUCUCCUUUCCCUCUCUCCUUGGCUCCUUCCCGAGUCCCUUACAGCCCCGAACUCUGCAUCUUCAGGGUGCCCCAAGACCAGCCCUCGUCCUGCUUCCUGCCUGCUCUCCGGCCUGUGGCUUUGGUGUGCACCGGUGUCUGUAGGCUGUCCUGGGGCCAGCAGCAAACACAAGCAAAGCCCACUUUUGUCUGUUGACCUCUGAGCAUGACCCUAAGAGGACUUUCCAGUUUAAGGCUGGCAGCACAUGAGAAGCACGCACGUGCAGCAGCAGACUCGGCGGGAGAGCCUCCCCAGCUCGAAGUCGUCAAGUUGGGUUCAAAAAGAAUGCAGCCUUCAUGUUUUUCUGCCCUCUGCUCCCUUCAGCUCUCAUACCACCAACGUUCCGCCAACGUCCCACCACCCUCAUGACAACCGUCCCCGGGACUGCUCCAGCGAAGGCACCCUUGCCUGGGCCACGAGGCGCAACCGUCCCUCACAGCUGGGGAGGCUUCUCCAGGUUCGCACCGAGAGGAAGUUGGGGUACCGGUUUCCGCCGCCAGCACCCAAGAUGGCGACACGAGCGUCGCAACCACAAGCACCACAUGCUUCGUGUCCCGCCUCAGCCUUUUCGGGUCUCACUAGACUUUUGCAAGUCACUGUGGGAACCCUCAAGGCGGAGGUGUUCCGCACUCCCGCGGCGAUACACCCUCCCAUUCCCUGCCCUAAGCCCUCAAUCCCCCGCCACAGAAAGCGCUGGAAGCGCCCAGCUUGGAUACUUCACCCAACUCCCAGCCCGCUAAGAUCGCCCGCCACGAACGCGCGGCCGAGGGGCCCAGAAUGCUAGACACUAAGGCCUUCGCCCUACUCAUUGGUCGGUCCACACCGCGGGGCGGGCCUAGGUACCCACUGGGCCGGGAAUUAUGUCAGUCUUGGGAAGUCGGGUCCGGAGAUGAGGAGGUACACUCAGCCAUUGGGCCCUCUCUGCUGCCAAUCAGAGGGACAUCCGUCGAC
This 1039-nucleotide long non-coding RNA is filed under the name Theropithecus gelada (gelada). RNAcentral's name for it is "lncRNA (ENSTGEG00000001149.1)". Lineage: Eukaryota; Metazoa; Chordata; Mammalia; Primates; Cercopithecidae. The record is from RNAcentral.